GCGGAAGUAGCUCAGUUGGUAGAGCGCAACCUUGCCAAGGUUGAGGUCGCGGGUUCGAGCCUCGUCUUCCGCUC
Molecule: transfer RNA, 74 nt
Filed under: Puia dinghuensis
Lineage: Bacteria; Pseudomonadati; Bacteroidota; Chitinophagia; Chitinophagales; Chitinophagaceae
Description: tRNA-Gly
Rfam family: tRNA
About the family: Transfer RNA (tRNA) molecules are approximately 80 nucleotides in length. Their secondary structure includes four short double-helical elements and three loops (D, anti-codon, and T loops).
Source: RNAcentral